AAAAUAACGGCGGAAAAUGUCGAAAGGAGGAGGGAGGAGGCUAGGCUAUGGUGUUUCGUCGGCUAAAUGAAAAAUACAUUAAAAAACAGACGAUAUUAGUAAACCAUACUUAAAUUUCCUGUUCAUCAUGUAUCACCAAAAUUCAUAUAAAAUAACUGAAAUAUGAAUUCAACAUGUGUAAAGGAAAAGGUCUUUAAUUAGUUAUACAAUGCAAAUUAAUGGAUUUCGUCCUCUAAAUUAAAACUAAGGCUCGUAAUCGGAAUCAUCCGAUGAGUCUUCUUCGGUGUCAGAAUUAAUUUCUGGUAAUAUAUGUCUUUCCUCAUCGCCAGAGUCUUCGUCUGUUUCGUGAUUUGGAUCAACAUCAAUAAGCCUUGGCUCUUCAUCACGAAUUCGCACCGAACGACCCGCUUUAAAAUUAUUAAGGCGAACGGUAGAGGAGUUAGGAAUAUCUAUUGCGUUGGGCUCUUGAUACGCAACAUCCUCUUCCUCGUCUUCGGCCUCUCCAAGUGUAGCCGCCCGGUAAAUGUUUCGAGGGUGCACAAGGUUGACUACUUUCCACGCGUCACCCUGAUAGGAGCAUAAAAUACGACAUUCUUAAUGUGUUAUUACCUCCAUUUGUACUUUGAUUAUCUCUUAUUGUCGUAGAAUAGAGUCAUAAUGUAGAGUCGAAAGUUUUUGGUAGAGUUAUGCGUAAAAUGUGUUAAACAUAGAUGAAUGAUGUAGAAAAUUGUCAAAAGCCGAUUUGUGGAGCCUUAGAGAUGUUCUUAUGAUUCUGUAAAGCUUUUACAUUGUCACAAAUUGAUUUAACUUCUCUGAUACUUAGGUGAUAUGUAAAAGAGUUAUGGCAAAAAGAAUCAGGAGAAUUGAAGUUAUGCUUGAAUCAUUGCCGAGAGAAGUGUUCCUGAUGGACCUAGGGAAGCAAAGCAGCUGAUCCACGAAGCCUAGUCCAUGAAGGAGAGGUCCAAACCAAGUCCAAUAUGGAGAAGAAGAUCUAAAUUCGGCAGAAUAUCAGGGAAUAUCCAAGUCUU
This 1028-nucleotide long non-coding RNA is filed under the name Fragaria vesca (wild strawberry). Its description in RNAcentral is "long non-coding RNA (FVES_LNC005493)". Lineage: Eukaryota; Viridiplantae; Streptophyta; Magnoliopsida; Rosales; Rosaceae. The record is from RNAcentral.